GUGCCAGCCGCCGCGGUAAUACGUAGGUGGCAAGCGUUGUCCGGAUUUAUUGGGUUUAAAGGGUGCGUAGGCGGCCUAUUAAGUCAGUUCUGAAAUAUCCCGGCUUAACCGGGAGGGUGGGAUUGAUACUGAUGGGCUUGAGUGGAGUCGAGGUAGGCGGAAUUGACGGUGUAGCGGUGAAAUGCUUAGAUAUCGUCAAGAACACCGAUAGUGUAGACAGCUUACUAGACUUCAACUGACGCUGAGGCACGAAAGUGUGGGGAUCAAACAGGAUUAGAUACCCUGGUAGUCCACACUGUAAACGUUGAUUACUCGCUGUGUGCGAUAUACAGUACGCGGCUUAGCGAAAGCGAUAAGUAAUCCACCUGGGGAGUACGCCGGCAACGGUGAA
RNAcentral lists this ribosomal RNA (391 nucleotides) under uncultured bacterium. RNAcentral's name for it is "bacterial SSU rRNA". It matches the Rfam family "Bacterial small subunit ribosomal RNA", at positions 505 to 898 of the family's 1533-position model. The record is from RNAcentral.